Anas platyrhynchos (mallard) is the source of this 506-nucleotide non-coding RNA. NCBI's taxonomy places the organism in Eukaryota, Metazoa, Chordata, Aves, Anseriformes, Anatidae. The record is from RefSeq and is a predicted model, not a curated record.
CCACUAGAAAGUGUUUAAGAAAGUAAAUCUUAGUCAGGAAAAACAGAUUUGGUCUUGCCUGUGUGGUUCACCAGGAUCCCACCAGGUCAGAUAAGUGUCCUGACUCCAUCUUGCUGAAAAUAACUGGACCUGAGCAGGCAAGACAACGAAGAAUCGUAGGAGGGAGAUAUGUGGAUUAGGAAAGGACUCUGGCAAAUCUGCGUGAGGAUGAUGACCUCUUCAUUAUCACUGUGGAAAAGGGGAAGAUCCCUGCUAAGCUUGAGCAAGGCGAAAUGAGGGCAAAAUUUUGCAGACUGAACAUUUUCAAAGCAUAGUCUAGAAAAACUGAGGAGAAAAUAUCUCACUAAUAAAUAUUUAUUAAAAGUAGAAAAAUUGCCUCAGCUGUGAAAGACAACUAUUACUGAAGCAUGAAAAAAGGAUGUUGAGCCACUUAAAAAGUACAAUUUUAAAUGUAAUGCAAACUAUAUCAUGCAUAAAUCAGAACCUUUUUAAUUGACCAAAACUAA